This 597-nucleotide ribosomal RNA is filed under the name unidentified microorganism. Its description in RNAcentral is "bacterial SSU rRNA". It matches the Rfam family "Bacterial small subunit ribosomal RNA", at positions 51 to 643 of the family's 1533-position model. The record is from RNAcentral.
ACACAUGCAAGUCGAGCGGUAGAGAGAAGCUUGCUUCUCUUGAGAGCGGCGGACGGGUGAGUAAUGCCUAGGAAUCUGCCUGGUAGUGGGGGAUAACGUUCGGAAACGGACGCUAAUACCGCAUACGUCCUACGGGAGAAAGCAGGGGACCUUCGGGCCUUGCGCUAUCAGAUGAGCCUAGGUCGGAUUAGCUAGUUGGUGGGGUAAUGGCUCACCAAGGCGACGAUCCGUAACUGGUCUGAGAGGAUGAUCAGUCACACUGGAACUGAGACACGGUCCAGACUCCUACGGGAGGCAGCAGUGGGGAAUAUUGGACAAUGGGCGAAAGCCUGAUCCAGCCAUGCCGCGUGUGUGAAGAAGGUCUUCGGAUUGUAAAGCACUUUAAGUUGGGAGGAAGGGCAUUAACCUAAUACGUUAGUGUUUUGACGUUACCGACAGAAUAAGCACCGGCUAACUCUGUGCCAGCAGCCGCGGUAAUACAGAGGGUGCAAGCGUUAAUCGGAAUUACUGGGCGUAAAGCGCGCGUAGGUGGUUUGUUAAGUUGGAUGUGAAAUCCCCGGGCUCAACCUGGGAACUGCAUUCAAAACUGACUGACUA